CCUCCCUUUCUUGGCGGAGAGUGGGCGCGUGGUCCCGCUCCCCGUUAUGUACGGAGGCAAAAGAAGGGGCUCCGGCCCCCCCGGCGUCAUGUCUUCGGUGCCGGCAGUGUCCCGUCUGCCGGUUCUAUCCUCUAGCGCCGCCGGGACAGGC
Non-coding RNA from Heterocephalus glaber (naked mole-rat), 151 nucleotides. The record is from Rfam. Lineage: Eukaryota; Metazoa; Chordata; Mammalia; Rodentia; Bathyergidae.